This is a long non-coding RNA of Musa acuminata AAA Group (dessert banana), 279 nucleotides long. RefSeq lists it as uncharacterized. The record is from RefSeq and is a predicted model, not a curated record. The transcript is spliced from 3 exons. Lineage: Eukaryota; Viridiplantae; Streptophyta; Magnoliopsida; Zingiberales; Musaceae.
GGAGGGAGCAAUAACCACACACUCCUUGGGGUCUGCAGAAAACCUAAGCCUUCCUCAGGAGCAAGUGAUUGUGAUGAGUGCCAAUAUGGGAUGCAGUCACUGCAGGCAGAGGGUCUCCAAGGUGGUCUCCAAAAUGAACACAGGCUUGGUGGAUUACAUGGUGGAUUUGCAAAAGAAAGAGAUCACAAUGAGGGGGGUUGUAGAGACCAAGAAGAGGAAGGUGCAUCCUAAUCACACAAGGAAGAAGAUGACAUUAAUUAGCUUCUUGGGCUUCUUUAG